UACGUAGGCAGCAAGCGUUGUUCGGAAUUAUUGGGCGUAAAGGGCGCGUAGGCGGUGCGGUAAGUCACCUGUGAAAUCUCCUGGCUCAACUGGGAGCUUGCAGGCGAAACUGCCGUGCUGGAGUGUGGGAGAGGUGCGUGGAAUUCCUGGUGUAGCGGUGAAAUGCGUAGAUAUCAGGAGGAACACCUGUGGCGAAAGCGGCGCACUGGACCACAACUGACGCUGAGGCGCGAAAGCUAGGGGAGCAAACAGG
This 253-nucleotide ribosomal RNA is filed under the name uncultured bacterium. RNAcentral's name for it is "partial 16S ribosomal RNA". It matches the Rfam family "Bacterial small subunit ribosomal RNA", at positions 524 to 776 of the family's 1533-position model. The record is from RNAcentral.